Long non-coding RNA from Argiope bruennichi, 262 nucleotides. RefSeq lists it as uncharacterized. The transcript is spliced from 3 exons. The record is from RefSeq and is a predicted model, not a curated record. Lineage: Eukaryota; Metazoa; Arthropoda; Arachnida; Araneae; Araneidae.
UUCGCUUAACUAAUUAAUCCAGCCUUAGAAAUAUGAUUCGAUAUUCUGAGAAAGCGGUUCAUCGUAUCAUCAAAACCUCCAUUCGAUCAGAGAGAAAAGCAGAAAAAUAAAGAAUUUGAAGAUGAAGAAGUGGAAGAAGGAAGAUGAGGAGGAAUGACAGUAAUUGACCACUUUUGGUCAAUUCCCUCCAAGAGAAUGUCAGUUUGACAAAUCAGUCAAUGUAAUGAUGGACAAUGCUAAAAAUAGCAGUCGGCCACAACAA